RNAcentral lists this transfer RNA (71 nucleotides) under Pseudopithomyces chartarum. Its description in RNAcentral is "tRNA-Arg". It matches the Rfam family "tRNA". From Rfam's summary of the family: Transfer RNA (tRNA) molecules are approximately 80 nucleotides in length. Their secondary structure includes four short double-helical elements and three loops (D, anti-codon, and T loops). Lineage: Eukaryota; Fungi; Ascomycota; Dothideomycetes; Pleosporales; Didymosphaeriaceae. The record is from RNAcentral.
CUCUUAUUAGUUUAAUGGUAGAACAAUAAUUUCCUAAAUUAUAUGUCUAAGUUCGAUUCUUAGAUAAGAGG